Molecule: long non-coding RNA, 1268 nt
Filed under: Salvia miltiorrhiza (redroot sage)
Lineage: Eukaryota; Viridiplantae; Streptophyta; Magnoliopsida; Lamiales; Lamiaceae
Description: long non-coding RNA (SMIL_LNC007744)
Source: RNAcentral
UGAGAGCCCGGGGUGGCUGCCUUGUUCGUCGAGGCAGAGGAGUCUCCAACGACGGCACAGGGAUAGUGGCGAGUCUUCAGGAAGGGGAGGCAAGGUUGAACGACGGCCCUCGCCGAGUUUUGGAGCACAGCUGCGGUUUGCUGGACCCAAGCCGACUUUACGACUGCGCUGUGUCAAACAAUUUUCGGGCUCGACAGCCUAUAGUAGCGGCAGAGAAGGCCAACUCCGUCGACUUAGUCGAUUCUCAAACAAAUAAGAAGAAACACAAUAAAGAAGAAGAAAAGUAUGCGGCGUAAAUCACUAUUAACUAAGAAAUUUAUAGCUAAAAAUCUAGGUUUUAAGUUUCCAUUAUUAAACAUCUUUCCAAAAACAAUUCUUUCUUUCUAAACUUCAGUAUAAUCAUUCUAUAUUUACAAUGGCUGUGUAGAAAUUAAAUAAGGAAACUAAAUUAAUACAUACCAUGAUUGUGUAGGAAGAAUCAUGGCAGAUCGCGGAGGGAAAACAAUUCUUUCUUUCUAAACUUCAGUAUAAUCAUUCUAUAUUUACAAUGGCUGUGUAGAAAUUAAAUAAGGAAACUAAAUUAAUACAUACCAUGAUUGUGUAGGAAGAAUCAUGGCAGAUCGCGGAGGGCGCCGGAGCCGGUGGUACGGACUGAUCGACAGCGGCGGAGCUCGGGGCGGAGGCGCGCGUUCGAGCAUCGAGAGGAACUUCGGCGAAUUCUACGAAAAACAGAAAAGAGGGGAAAUGGGAAACCCCCAAAUCUGCAGAUACAAAAAGAGGGCUUCUGUGAAUUCUUCUUCUUUCUUCCUGCGAUUGUGAGGGGCCGCAGGUUCUGGUCGGAUCAAAAGGUGGAAUCAACUAAUCCCUGUGAACAAUCGCGAUGGCAGGCGUUAGUGGAGCAGAACAACAUUAGGCCUCGAUCUCACGAAAGGCGGAUUGGUAGUCAUGCACCUGCUUUGGGGCGACAGUGGUGGACGUUACGGUGGCGACUGCACUCGACGCCGCCAUGGUUGCGGCGACAGUAUUGAGAGAAGGAGUCGGCGGUGGCGAAUCCAUGGCCGAGUGAGAGAUAGCAAGAGGUGGGGAUUGUGUGAUCAUGAGCAAGAAUGAAAAAGAUAGAUCUGAAAUUCGAUGGGAGAAAUCGAUGACUGAGAGAGAAGAAUGAAAGAGGCAUAGAUCUGAAAAUCGAUGUGGAAGAACCGAUGAAUUUGGGAGAGAAGAGAUCUGGGAGAGAACCGAUUACUCGGACAUGGAAGAAAUGAUUUCUU